UUAACUAUUAUAUAGUACUCAGACGACACUGACAAUUGGGGUUUGGGGUCCUCUGGCGGGCGCGGACCGGCCGGGGCCGGGGCCUCGCGGCGGCCCGCCAAAGCAACACGGUAGUAUAAACACAGGGUGGGAGGUCUACCCGUCAGGGCAUGAACUCUGUAAUGAUCCUUCCGCAGGUUCACCUACGGAAA
RNAcentral lists this unclassified non-coding RNA (191 nucleotides) under uncultured fungus. Its description in RNAcentral is "sequence contains ITS1". The record is from RNAcentral. Lineage: Eukaryota; Fungi.